Molecule: ribosomal RNA, 302 nt
Filed under: uncultured Alphaproteobacteria bacterium
Lineage: Bacteria; Pseudomonadati; Pseudomonadota; Alphaproteobacteria
Description: bacterial SSU rRNA
Rfam family: Bacterial small subunit ribosomal RNA
Source: RNAcentral
AGUUGCCAUCAUUCAAGUUGGGCACUCUAGAGGGACUGCCGGUGAUAAGCCGGAGGAAGGUGGGGAUGACGUCAAGUCCUCAUGGCCCUUACAGGCUGGGCUACACACGUGCUACAAUGGCGGUGACAAUGGGAUGCGAUGGGGCGACCCGGAGCAGAUCUCCAAAAGCCGUCUCAGUUCGGAUUGUACUCUGCAACUCGAGUGCAUGAAGGUGGAAUCGCUAGUAAUCGUAGAUCAGAACGCUACGGUGAAUACGUUCCCGGGCCUUGUACACACCGCCCGUCACACCAUGGGAGUUGGUU